GACGAUCGCUGGCGGCGUGCUUAACACAUGCAAGUCGAACGGAAAGGCCUCUUUCGGGGGGUACUCGAGUGGCGAACGGGUGAGUAACACGUGAGUAACCUGCCCUUGACUUUGGGAUAACUUCAGGAAACUGGGGCUAAUACCGGAUAGGAGCUCCUGCUGCAUGGUGGGGGUUGGAAAGUUUCGGCGGUUGGGGAUGGACUCGCGGCUUAUCAGCUUGUUGGUGGGGUAGUGGCUUACCAAGGCUUUGACGGGUAGCCGGCCUGAGAGGGUGACCGGCCACAUUGGGACUGAGAUACGGCCCAGACUCCUACGGGAGGCAGCAGUGGGGAAUAUUGCACAAUGGGUGGAAGCCUGAUGCAGCAACGCCGUGUGCGGGAUGACGGCCUUCGGGUUGUAAACCGCUUUCGCUCAUGACGAAGCUUUGUGUGACGGUAGUGGGUAAAGAAGCACCGGCUAACUACGUG
Molecule: ribosomal RNA, 467 nt
Filed under: uncultured bacterium
Lineage: Bacteria
Description: partial 16S ribosomal RNA
Rfam family: Bacterial small subunit ribosomal RNA
Source: RNAcentral